AGCUAUGCGCAGUGGCAGUAUCAUAGACAAUGAGGUUUAACAGAGGCGGGUUUAUUGCUAAUUGAAAACUUUUCCCAAUACCCUGCCAGGACAACUUGAAAUAUAGUUGGCAUUGGCAAUUUUUGGCGUGUCUAUGGGGAC
This 141-nucleotide small nuclear RNA is filed under the name Aotus nancymaae (Ma's night monkey). Its description in RNAcentral is "U4 spliceosomal RNA (ENSANAG00000007542.1)". It matches the Rfam family "U4 spliceosomal RNA". Rfam says of the family: U4 small nuclear RNA (U4 snRNA) is a component of the major U2-dependent spliceosome. The structure of U4 snRNA from yeast and human has been reported. U4 snRNA presents a k-turn RNA motif in the 5p-SL related to recognition of Snu13 protein. The record is from Rfam by way of RNAcentral. Lineage: Eukaryota; Metazoa; Chordata; Mammalia; Primates; Aotidae.